UACGUAGGGGGCGAGCGUUGUCCGGAAUUACUGGGCGUAAAGGGUGCGUAGGCGGCUGAUCAAGUCAGAUGUGAAAUACCACGGCUUAACUGUGGGGGUGCAUUUGAAACUGGUUAGCUUGAGUGCAGGAGAGGAAAGCGGAAUUCCUAGUGUAGCGGUGAAAUGCGUAGAGAUUAGGAGGAACACCGGUGGCGAAGGCGGCUUUCUGGACUGUAACUGACGCUGAGGCACGAAAGCGUGGGGAGCGAACAGGAUUAGAUACC
This 263-nucleotide ribosomal RNA is filed under the name uncultured bacterium. RNAcentral's name for it is "partial 16S ribosomal RNA". It matches the Rfam family "Bacterial small subunit ribosomal RNA", at positions 524 to 786 of the family's 1533-position model. The record is from RNAcentral.